This 5420-nucleotide long non-coding RNA is filed under the name Marmota monax (woodchuck). Lineage: Eukaryota; Metazoa; Chordata; Mammalia; Rodentia; Sciuridae. The record is from RNAcentral.
AUUAGUCCUCAUUGGCAAUUACACAAUAAAUAUUUAUUGAAUGAAUUAAUGGAUCAGCUAACAAACUAUCCCUCUCCUCCCUUGACCAACAGGACCCCAGAGAGAUGCACAAGCAGCUCGAGAAUUUAUCCUGAAGAUGUUCGUGGACCUGAACCCAGACAGUGACAAAAUUAUCUACUCCCACUUCACGUGUGCCACAGACACCGAGAACAUCCGCUUUGUCUUUGCCGCCGUCAAGGACACCAUCCUCCAGUUGAACCUGAAGGAGUACAAUCUGGUCUAAUCGUGCCUCCCAGAAACCUGCCCUUCCCUUCCCUGGUGGGCUAUUGAAGAUAUACAAGAGGGACUGUAUUUCUGUGGAAAACAAUUUGCAUAAUACUAAUUUAUUGCCGUCCUGGACUCUGUGUGAGUGUGUCCACAGAGUUUAUAGUAAAUAUUAUGAUUUUAUUUAAACUAUUCAGAGGAAAAACAGAGGAUGCUGAAGUACAGUCCCAGCACAUUUCCUCUCUAUCUUUUUUUUAGGCAAAACCUUGUGACUCAAUGUAUUUUAAAUUCUCAGUCAUGCACUCACAAAGAGUCGUUUCUCUAUUUCUCUCUCUUACUCUCUUUCUUUUCUAUUGAGCAAAACAAAGCUGAUUUCCCUUUUUCCUAAUCCAUACAUCCCUCCUGAUUUUUUUUUUUCCCCAGGUUACAAUGGCCUUUAUCCUAGUUCUAUUCUUGGUCAAGUUUUUCUUUCGAAUGAUGGUCAGGACAAUGUCAUUCGAUUUAAGCCAUCCUACAUCAGCUUAACCUAACACUUUGUAGUUUUUGCUGAAGGAUUAUAUGUAUUACUACUAUGGUUUUCAAUGUAUUGCUCUGGAUACACAUCUAGUGUUUCUUUUUUGAUAUAUAGUCUCGUCUUACUGGACUAGGACAAUGGAUGCCCAUCAAACAGUUAAGCGUCAUUUCUUUGAAUUUUGACCUUCAGGCAUAGUUCAUGAUUGCUCAGAGAAAUGCACAGAAGUUGGAGGCAUGGGCAAAGACACAUAGAAGGAGUCCUUUCUUUUGAAAUCCAUGUGCCAUUGUCCUUUCUCCCUUCCUUGCUGAAUGCCCUGCCCCUGACUCCCCCGCCUCCACCCUUUCUUUAAAUCACAGAUGCCAAAAAACAUGCCAACAGACACUACAUUGCCCCAAUGGCUGCUACCCAGAGCCUUUUCAUAGGUUAUUUUUUGUUUUUGUUUCUUGGUUCCAACUUUUUUUAAUUUUUUCUUUUGCGAUUGGGCCACAAUUUUUCAGUGAUUUUUUUUUUUUUUUAUUAUGGGUAUGUGUUGCCAAAACUGGCUUUUUGUAAAGCAAAACAAAUUAAGACCUUACAAAAUAAAAGCCAGUGUCUUAAAGAGAGUAAGACUGUGAAGCUGAAGAUGACUGGCUGAGCAAGAACCUACCAGUUGCCAAAUAAUCGGUAACUGUAAAUCUGAUGCUCAUGGUCCAUUCUUUUCUUUGCCCUUCAGAUCACGUGGUUUAGUGUCCAGUCCCACGUUGAGUGCCCCAGAUCAGCACUGUAGAAAAGUCUCCUGUGUGGUUUAUCAUGAAAUCUGCUCAUGUCUUGUUUAUUGGAAGCCAGUUUUACUCGCUCUUAUGUCCUUUAAGUUCAAGUAAGUCUGCCAAGAAUGUUGGUUGAUAGUAUUAUCCUGACACCUUUAAUUUGCAAAAAAAAAAAAAGUGACUGCUGGUUUAUCUCCUUCAGGAUCUUCUUGAACUGGUGACUGAUUGAGUUGAACUUAAGGAAGUUUUGUGGACUUAAAAGUAACCUCUCAGUGUUCCAUUGAACAUGUAUCUCUGUAACUGAACCUCCUAGGAGAGAUGUUUGGAAUUCUACAUGUGCAAUUUUUCAACACAUGCAAAAAAUACAGCACAUGUAUCAUGAACUUCUGACAAGCAGCCUAAGUUGAGAUGUGAUUUAAGAAAGAAAUCAUGAUUGUUUUAAAGCUGCUGAGAAGUUAGCAUGAGGCCAUGACUCUAGUCUCAGUACUAUUGGGCACUAGUCUAAACAUUCAUAUAAAUCACUUUUUUGAAUAACAAAGGGGAGGGAGAAAAUUAACAGCUUUUGAGUACCAAAGUUACUGAAUAGUAAUGAAAUGUUCUUAUUCUUAAUUCUCCCAGCCUCAAACAACACAGGUUACUUUUUUUUUUCUUUACUCAGAAAGCACCUGUAAUUUAAUUAACAGACUGCCUGUAGGUAUAGUGCAAUUACGAAUGCUCUAAUCGUUGUACAUACAUCUCUCUUGAUAUUGCAGCAUCCAUACUGGCUUUGUAAUCAUUAAUUUUUUUGGCAGAUUGAAUGUGCUGUAUUGAUAUGUAUCUAUGUAAUUGUAUUGUAUGUCUUAUAGCUAAUUCACAUUUUGAAUAAUGUUAUUUUAUUUACUUUUUUAAGAGAGGAGAAUGUAAAUUUGUCAGUUUAUUUCUGACUAGGGAUAUUUUUUUCCAUUUAGAAAACAAGAAAAAAACAAAAACCUUACUAUCGUACAGAGCGGUACUAGCAUCGUGCUGUAUAAAAUCAUUUGCACAUUCCUGAGUAGAGGUAUACUGAUUCUAAGACCCAAAGGUAAUUUCAUAGCAAAAUACAUAAAAUCAGUCGGAGCUUUUAUACAAACAUGGAAACCAACUUUGUAGAACUUUUGCCAUUUGAUCUAGGAUUGGAAUAUGAGCUUUUAUACAAUUCAUAUUCUUAUUUGGCAAAUGCACAGUUUAGUAUUACCUCUCUGAUGGCCUUUAUUAGAGAAAGGCAGUUUUAGAAGCUAUUGUGAUCCACUAAGGAAACGUUUUAACAGCUAGAGACCACUGCUUGCCUGAAAGGGCGAUCUUAAAUUUGGUGCAGCAAAAAAUAAAACAAAAAAAUACAAAAAUAAAAACAAAAAAAAUGUAAACAGCAACAUUUGAUGGCCUACAGUGUGUAUAGAGAAAACCUCAUCACAAGAUCAUAAGUGUUACAGUUUUAGGGAAUCAAGAUAUUCUAUUUAAUAGAGCUCUAGUAGAUGUAGUUGAUUAAACCUGAUCUCAAAGCUCGAAGAAGCUGAGCAAAACAGGGAAAGAUUGUUAUAUUUGUCUUUAUGAAGUUGGGAUGGAAUUUGCUAUGCAGAAUUGAGGUUUGUGGCUUUGCUGCUUAUCUUGGGGUGCAUGACAGGAUCCCUUCUUUUGAGAAGGGAAAUAAUUGAUCACCCUAGCUGCAGUGAGGCAUAGAAACCUAAUUGUAUCCACACUAGUCAAUCGAAGCUACAGGAUUUUUUGUUGAUAUUGUUUCUUUGGGGUUUUAUUGAAGGGGCGAGGGGCGGGAAGGGAUUCUUUUCAGUUUUGUAUAAAAACAAAGUUUACUCAUGCUUUCUAUUCUAUUGUGAUUGCUCUAAGCGUGUGCCACUGGACUCCAGUUGUUGAUGCUCUAGGUAAUGGAGGCUUGUGGCGAGUUUUAUGGUGACUUGGGCAUGUCUUAUUCAAAAACAAAACACAAAACACAGAAACCUUUCUUCAGCAUACCAAGGCAAGCAGCCAUUUCAUGACUCACGUAACACAUUGCAGUGUACCAGUUUACAGAUAAUUUUUCCUUUUUUUAAAGUUUUUUAUUUUUGUUUCUGCUUGAUGCAGCAGUUCCAACCCACAGAGAAUUCCUUAUUUGUAAAUUGGAGGUUUUUACUAUGCCUUACAGAGCUUAAAUUCAGAAGUUUGUGCCUCGAAUCUGAAACAAAGGGAAAUAACACACUUAUUUAAAAGUCAGUAAAUCCCCUAGAAGUUAUCGGGGUUUUUUUCUUUCUUAACAUUUCCAUGUAAAGAGCUCUGUUGAAUGUCAUGAAUAGAUGGCGGAGGAAAGAAAAAUCUUAGGAACCUGCACUUGUUAUUCACUAGCAGAUGACAUCUACAGAAGGUAUUUGAAGAACACCAGAAACUUUCUUUUUCUUUUUCCUUUUUUUUGUCUUUUUUUAAAUGAGAUCAACUACCAGGCCUGAUAUUUUAAAAAGGUAAUUCAGCUAAAGGGCAAUUUACUUUUUUGUACUUCAGACUAUCUUGAUUGUCAAGGUGUACGAACUGUAAUUUUAAAAUUUAUACUGCCACAUGAUUGUAAAUUUUAGUUGUCUUAAGUUAGGAAUUGGUGGAAAGCUAUUUAUGCUGGAUUUGGGUCAAAAUGACUUAUCUGCAAAAAAAUAAAAAUAAAAAAUAAUAAUGGGAAGAAAGGGCUGCAUAAUAAGAUACUGCAAGACUCAAAUAUUGGUUGGAAAUUCCCCUCAGAUUACCCUCAAUUUCCCUUUGUUUUCACUUUCUCAAGAAGAACGAAUGAAAUGAAAUAUAGCAGAAUGUUAACCCAUAUAAAAAUAAAGCGUACCCAAAUAUUGUAAUGCAUAUUGCUGCUCUUCUUAAAAAUCAAUGAGGGUCUUAAACCACUUAAUUGGCAAUUAAUAACAUCUCAAAUUCAUGAAAAUAAGGUGUGCUUGGUAUACAUUCAUAUUUUCUUCCAAAGAGAUAUCUUUGGUUAGAAACACACACAAAAUCAAAACUAAGAAUAUCAUAUGUUUAACUAUCUCUACAUAUUUCCAGCAUAUGUAGCGUUAAUAGAUCUGUCCUGGUACCUGUGUCUUGGGGAUUUCGUUUUAGUUCCAUCAAGUUAGGAAAAGAAAUGGCUUAGUUGUAUAUGAUUAGCUAGAUGUUUUUGGAGCCAGACACCUGCUGUUUAGUAGUUAACUUAGUACAGUCUAAACUUGUCAUUUGUUUUCCUCACAGAGUAACCAUUUCCUGCUCUCUUCCCUACUACCACUGCCCUUUCAAUAACACUCUUGCCUCUAGAAUCAUAUGUUCCAAGUAUGCAUACACACCUAGCACAUAGUAGGUGCUCAAAUAUUAAUUUCCUCCUUACCUUUCUUACCUACCAUGUAGCCUCCAUUUCCCCAUAUGAUUCCAACCCAAGCUCUUGGGUAAAAUUGGAUUUUACUUGGAUAAAGAAUUCUGACUUUGGUAGAAGUUUUUGGUAGACAGAAAAUAAUAACAGGGAGGAAGGUAUUAUUCUUCAGUAGAAUAUUUUUAGGUUUAGGAAAGAAAGAUGGAAAAUUACUGUGUAACUUUGUCCAGGUGACUUGGAUUGAAACACAUGUUUUUUGUGGAUUUCUUUUCCUCAAAGAACUCUCUAAAUGCAACUUCUUGCUGGAUUCCUCACCCAUCACGUUGGAACCCCUGACUAGACCAUGUAUUUAGGGAGUUUUGUCAGAAAACAUUUUUAACUUACAGUAUUUAAAAGAAUCAUAUUUACUGUUCUUAAAAUGUCAUUCAAUGCAUGUAUUGUCUAUUGUUUGGGGAUGGGAACUAGUUUUGCAAAAACACCUAAUGUUGUAUAAUAAUGCCCCAAUGAUCUUGCUGGUUAAAAAUACAGUAUUUUUGGCCAUAAUUUUGUACUACAGUAU